Non-coding RNA from Cricetulus griseus (Chinese hamster), 562 nucleotides. NCBI's taxonomy places the organism in Eukaryota, Metazoa, Chordata, Mammalia, Rodentia, Cricetidae. The record is from RefSeq and is a predicted model, not a curated record.
CCGCGCGCGCGCGCGCCCGUCCGCUCCCACCACCCAGCAGGAAGUGACCUGUCACCGGAAGUGCCUCUCAGGGCAGCGUGGUCCCCCGCUCAGGGCCGCCUCUGGGAUACCAGCUGUAGUCACAGACCGAAAGAAAUCGAUGGCAAGAAGGGGACCAGAGGAGGGGGCACUCGGGACAGAAACACUUGAAAAGAGAACGUUGCUGUCGCCCGGCCGCUGCGCACCAUGGGAAAGGCACAGUGGCUGCACCUUAAUCUGCUGCUAUUUCAGCCAACAACUGGGACUCUGAAGUUAGCGGCCUACUACUCUGGCAGUGACCAGGCCACUCAGGCCACAGCCGGGCAGAAAUUCUGUUCCCACGUGUACUGGCUCUAUCACUGCUGCUAAAGUUAGCUUUAACUAAAUCUGUAUCAUUCUAUUUAUGAAUAAGACUUGAGAGUCAAAGGCUGGGGUGAAAACCUGCUAGCUCAGAGGGGUUGAGUAGCAACUAGCUAACCUUCUCUCCUUGCUGGCAUCCGCCAAAAAACCUUGUCCUUUUGCACUUAAAAAAAAAAAAAAAAAA